GCGAAGGCAGCUUGCUGGACUGUAACUGACGNUGAGGCACGAAAGCGUGGGGAUCAAACAGGAUUAGAUACCCUGGUAGNCCACGCCGUAAACGAUGAAUGCUAGCUGUUAGCGAUAUACUGUUAGCGGCACAGAGAAAUCGUUAAGCAUUCCACCUGGGGAGUACGCCGGCAACGGUGAAACUCAAAGGAAUUGACGGGGGCCCGCACAAGCGGAGGAACAUGUGGUUUAAUUCGAUGAUACGCGAGGAACCUUACCUGGGCUUAAAUUGCAGUGGAAUAACGUGGAAACAUGUUAGCCUUCGGGCCGCUGUGAAGGUGCUGCAUGGUUGUCGUCAGCUCGUGCCGUGAGGUGUCGGCUUAAGUGCCAUAACGAGCGCAACCCUCAUCGAUAGUUACUAACAGGUUAAGCUGAGGACUCUAUCGAGACUGCCGACGUAAGUCGUGAGGAAGGUGGGGAUGACGUCAAAUCAGCACGGCCCUUACGUCCAGGGCUACACACGUGUUACAAUGGGGGGUACAAAGGGCAGCUACCUGGCGACAGGAUGCUAAUCUCAAAAACCUCUCUCAGUUCGGAUUGGAGUCUGCAACCCGACUCCAUGAAGCUGGAUUCGCUAGUAAUCGCGCAUCAGCCACGGCGCGGUGAAUACGUUCCCGGGCCUUGUACACACCGCCCGUCAAGCCAUGGGAGCCGGGGGGACCUGAAGUAUGCAACCGUAAGGAGCGUCCUAGGGUAAAACUGGUGACUGGGGCU
This 753-nucleotide ribosomal RNA is filed under the name uncultured prokaryote. RNAcentral's name for it is "bacterial SSU rRNA". It matches the Rfam family "Bacterial small subunit ribosomal RNA", at positions 715 to 1482 of the family's 1533-position model. The record is from RNAcentral.